RNAcentral lists this ribosomal RNA (618 nucleotides) under uncultured beta proteobacterium. RNAcentral describes it as "bacterial SSU rRNA". It matches the Rfam family "Bacterial small subunit ribosomal RNA", at positions 1 to 622 of the family's 1533-position model. Lineage: Bacteria; Pseudomonadati; Pseudomonadota; Betaproteobacteria. The record is from RNAcentral.
UGAGUUUGAUUAUGGCUCAGAUUGAACGCUGGCGGCAUGCCUUACACAUGCAAGUCGAACGGCAACGGGCCCUUUGGGUGCCGGCGAGUGGCGAACGGGUGAGUAACACAUCGGAACGUACCCUGUGGAGGGGGAUAACCCGUCGAAAGACGGGCUAAUACCGCAUAAGCUCUGAGGAGGAAAGCGGGGGACCGCGAGGCCUCGCGCCACAGGAGCGGCCGAUGUCCGAUUAGCUAGUUGGUGGGGUAAAGGCUUACCAAGGCGAGGAUCGGUAGCGGGUCUGAGAGGACGGCCCGCCACACUGGGACUGAGACACGGCCCAGACUCCUACGGGAGGCAGCAGUGGGGAAUCUUGGACAAUGGGGGGAACCCUGAUCCAGCAAUGCCGCGUGGGUGAAGAAGGCCUUCGGGUUGUAAAGCCCUUUCGGCAGGGAAGAAAACGGCUGGGUUAAUAAUCCAGCUGGAUGACGGUACCUGCAGAAGAAGCACCGGCUAACUACGUGCCAGCAGCCGCGGUAAUACGUAGGGUGCGAGCGUUAAUCGGAUUUACUGGGCGUAAAGCGUGCGCAGGCGGUUCGCUANGACAGGUGUGAAAUCCCUGGGCUUAACCUAGGAAUU